AUUGAACGCUGGCGGCAGGCUUAACACAUGCAAGUCGAGCGGAGAUGAGGUGCUUGCACCUUAUCUUAGCGGCGGACGGGUGAGUAAUGCUUAGGAAUCUGCCUAUUAGUGGGGGACAACAUUCCGAAAGGAAUGCUAAUACCGCAUACGUCCUACGGGAGAAAGCAGGGGAUAUUCGGACCUUGCGCUAUUAGAUGCGCCUAAGUCGGAUUCGCUAGUUGGUGGGGUAAAGGACUACCAAGGCGACGAUCUGUAGCGGGUCUGAGAGGAUGGUCCGCCACACUGGGACUGAGACACGGCCCAGACUCCUACGGGAGGCAGCAGUGGGGAAUAUUGGACAAUGGGGGAAACCCUGAUCCAGCCAUGCCGCGUGUGUGAAGAAGGCCUUAUGGUUGUAAAGCACUUUAAGCGAGGAGGAGGCUACUGAGACUAAUACUCUUGGAUAGUGGACGUUACUCGCAGAAUAAGCACCGGCUAACUCUGUGCCAGCCGCCGCGGUAA
Molecule: ribosomal RNA, 501 nt
Filed under: uncultured bacterium
Lineage: Bacteria
Description: partial 16S ribosomal RNA
Rfam family: Bacterial small subunit ribosomal RNA
Source: RNAcentral